CGCCGUUUGGUUUAGUGGAUAAAAUAUCUCGUUGCCAACGAGGAUGCCCCGGGUUCGAUUUCCCGGACGGCCG
This 73-nucleotide transfer RNA is filed under the name Phytophthora infestans T30-4. It matches the Rfam family "tRNA". From Rfam's summary of the family: Transfer RNA (tRNA) molecules are approximately 80 nucleotides in length. Their secondary structure includes four short double-helical elements and three loops (D, anti-codon, and T loops). Further hydrogen bonds mediate the characteristic L-shaped molecular structure. tRNAs have two regions of fundamental functional importance: the anti-codon, which is responsible for specific mRNA codon recognition, and the 3' end, to which the tRNAs corresponding amino acid is attached (by aminoacyl-tRNA synthetases). tRNAs cope with the degeneracy of the genetic code in two manners: having more than one tRNA (with a specific anti-codon) for a particular amino acid; and 'wobble' base-pairing, i.e. permitting non-standard base-pairing at the 3rd anti-codon position. Lineage: Eukaryota; Oomycota; Peronosporomycetes; Peronosporales; Peronosporaceae. The record is from Rfam by way of RNAcentral.